Molecule: long non-coding RNA, 995 nt
Organism: Nothoprocta perdicaria
Lineage: Eukaryota; Metazoa; Chordata; Aves; Tinamiformes; Tinamidae
Exons: 8
Source: RefSeq, a predicted model, not a curated record
GGAAGGUGAGAGCAGUCGGAGAUAUGUAGAACUGCAGCGAACCGCUUGUCAGGAUUUAAGACAGAACUCAAAGCCAGAAUGCAUCCCUUUGAGUUCCAUACAUUCUACACUCCCUGAGAAGUCAAGACAUCACGUCUGAAGCCCAAGUGUAUGAAAAAUGAAACCAGCUGAAACAGGAAGGCUUUUUUGCAGACAGAUUACUACUAUGGGACAUCUAAAAAAGUACUGUGGAAACCCAAGCCUAGUCUAUAUAGGAGGCGGGAAAAAUGCAGAGCAACCCUUUACAGCACAAGGAACACAUGAGGGAAGAGAGAGUGUUGGCAGACUGAGUAGGCAGUGGAAGCAGACAUUUUCCAUCCGUUUGCAGAAUGUCAAGCUGCUGUGACUGGGGCAGGACGUGACAACGUCUGCUGUCCUGCAGCCAGCCCCGACCACGAGCAUCUGCAGGACAAUGGGCACUGCGCUCUCCAGCGACACCAAUUGAGGACUAAAAGUUGGAAAUAGGAACUUGGACAUCAUUUAAAAAUGAGGUCCCACUCUGCUGGAAAGAAGCAAGGCUACAAGUGAGAUGUAUGACCAUUGCAGACAAGCCCUGAUAACUGUCAGUACUUCUCCUUUGUCAUGAAGAACAUCACAAAGCAACUUAACUGAAUAAGAUGAACACCAGAAAAAUAAAUAUGGCUUAGCAAAAUGCACACACAGCCUGAACUUGUAAGCUGUUAAGAUCUGGAUACAGCCAUGGGUGGAAUUUUUGAACAGAGGACCACCAAGCAACUACCUCCUUGCARCACUUCGCUACUAGAGUCCAGUACAGCCCAUCAUAGAUCCUUUUUAUACAACAGGUAUGUGGCAAACCUGUGUGGCUGUAGCAUUACUGAAAAUAAAAGACAUUUUCCUGUCAGCUGUAUUUUUGUAACCGAGAAUAACAACAUAUUUGCAAUCACUAUGUUGAUUUUCAACAAAAAAUAGCAUUUCCUGUGCUUAGUACACACCGA